Acanthosepion pharaonis is the source of this 112-nucleotide non-coding RNA. Lineage: Eukaryota; Metazoa; Mollusca; Cephalopoda; Sepiida; Sepiidae. The record is from the annotation of a GenBank genome assembly.
UUCGACCAGAUCACGUUGAAAAUCCGUUUCCCGUUGGAUCACCGAAGUUAAGCAAUUCAGUGCUUGAUCAAUAGCUAGAUAGGUGACCGCUUGGGAAAACCUGGUGCUGUAU